Molecule: unclassified non-coding RNA, 4652 nt
Filed under: Penaeus chinensis
Lineage: Eukaryota; Metazoa; Arthropoda; Malacostraca; Decapoda; Penaeidae
Description: protein encore-like, transcript variant X3
Source: RNAcentral
UAGAUUUCAGGGUGGAGGCCGUCACCCUGCCUAGCGCCUCUACUAACCUCGGACUCGGCGUGACGGCGGCAACCGGUCGCGGAGCCGCCCCCCUCGCCCCCUCGCUGCCCGUCGCCCCCCUCGACGCCGCCGCCGCCGCCAGGGAAGAGCCCCGCUGCCGCCGCCGCCCCUACCUCGACGACCGCUCACUGCCAGGACCGCCAUCGUCCAGCCCGACCCGAGACCAGGACCGAAAUCACACCGGGACAGCCGUCGCCCGCCCCCGCACACAUGUCGCAGCUGCACUCCCCGCGCCUCGCCAAUCCUUAGGUCUUGUUUGCCGCCAUCGUGCCGCCCUCGCGUGCUCCCGGCAUGGCCCAGCUGGAAAUACCGUCCAUAGUGGUUCACAACGGAUCAAGCAGCACGCCGGGCAGCCCCAGCAUGGAGCGCCCCUCCAGAUCACUGCGCCAGCACCGUACCCUCUCAAAGCAGAUUUCCCUCCUGGACGACGACUGCGAUGAAGGCUUGGAUGACAGCAGGGACUUGCUGCCUGAGAGUCCAACCUCACACGGUGCCAACCACACCCUCUCGGCCAACACUGCUGGUCUUGAUGAAGUGUCUCCGCCGCUACCUACAACCAACUUCACUCAUCACCACAGUGGCCUGCCCCAUGGCCCUGGACCAGGAGGAGGAGGAGGAGGUGGAGGAGGAGGUGGUGGUGGCAGUAGUGGUGGUGGAGGUGCUAGUGCUGGGGGUGGAGGAGGAGGAGGAGGAGGAGGAAGCAAUAGUAUUGGAGGAGGAGGAGGAAGGAGAAAAGAAGAAGAGGAAGAAGGAGAGGAAGGGGUGGGAAGAGGAACAGUGGGGGACAGUGGAGGAAGUGGUGGGAACAAUGGCUGCAGCAGAAAUAGUGCCUCCAAUAGUCAGUCAGGUCUCAGUGCACCCAAUCAAUGUGGUUCAGUUCUUGGUAAUUCUGGCCAAACACGCUCUAAAUCUCUGGAAUUAAAUCAGCAACGCUCAACCGAAUCUGAUAAAGACGCGCCUCUAGUCACGUCUGCAAGACACAGGCAUCAUGGAGGGAAGCUAAAACUCUUGCAACGAAGCCAUGCCAUGCGCGAAGACACAUCACCGCCACCAGAGAUUCUGGAGCCAGCACCCCCCUCACCCCACUGUAACAGCCACUCGAGCAGUGGGGGUAGCAAUACCCUCACUGUGACCUCAGGUGGUGGCAACAGGAGGCGACUGAAGCAUCAGGGUUCCUCACAGGGGUCCUUUGAUGGGUCCUCGCCCUGUUUGUCGCGAGAUUCAUCAAUGGAGUAUACAGACAGCAGUGGUGUUGACUUGCAGCAGUUCAUCAUCCAGACACUUCACAAGAACCAAAAGGACCGUAUGAUGCUCCUAAAAAUUGAGCAUGAGCUGGUCAAUCUCGUGAAGGACACCAAGCGAACGCACCACAAGUUUCCUCCAAUGUCAUCAUACCAACGAAUGCUUGUUCACCGGUGUGCUGCAUUUUUUGGACUCGAGCAUAAUGUAGACCAAGCUGGAACUGCUGUCAUAGUCAACAAAACGCGGAACACACGCCUUCCUGAGACGCGGUUCAGAGACCACUGCCGUGAUGAUCUCUUAGUGCCAGACGAACCUAAGAGGUCCAUACUUAAAAGAGACUCAUCAUCCUUUGAUGAUGGGUCUAAUUAUAAGUCCCUAGAUAGACAGUACAGCUCAGAGUCCAGGCGGAGCAAGAGCUUCGAGGAACGAGAAGAGGAGUACGAAAAAGUAAGGAAGCGAAUAUUCAGUCAGGAGUCUUUGUCAUCAGCUGAUGGUCUAGGAGACUCACCUGUCAGAGGUCAUGAUUCAAGAAGAAACUCCCAAGAUGACUCACGGUGGCAUGACUCACGACACUGGAAUUUUAUAGACUCAGAGAUCUCACAUCGAAAACAUCAUUAUGACAAUCAUAGAUUAAGGCCAGGCAGAUUACCAAAGGUGGAGUCAUUCGAGAGCAGAGAUACACUCCAUCCAAGAUCACUAAGACCACCUGUCUUUAAGUCACACAGCUUUGGGGGAUAUAGUGGUGGUGUUACUGUUUUAUCUAGAGGAGAAUCGGUUUCGAGUAAUAUAUCUUCUUCUAGAUUAAGUAAACAGGACUCAACCAGUAGCCGUUUAAGUGACCAGAGCAGCAGUUCCGGGUAUAAAACACAAAGGCAAGACACCAGUUCCACCAAUGUGUCGAACACCCUCUCCACCACGCCUUCCCCAACUACUAGUCAGCAUCAGCACACUUCCAGUGGUCAGAAUGCGGGUAUGUGGGGAGGUGAAGGUGAUGGUCAGGCAGUAAUGUGGGCAGUAACAGAUAUGGAAGCUGUGCCAGCUGGUGCAAUGCUUAUAAACCCACAGAGUGGACAACCAUACAUGAACUCUGAUGGAUCUGUCUAUCGAUUUGAUCCAAACAAUCCGCCACAAAUCAGUCCCAGUGUGAUUGCCAGCACUACAGCAAGCGGAAGCACUAGAGAAAAGGAGCCAACAGUAGAAAAGGAAGCAACAGGUUGUUUAGGAGGAAGUUUAGGAGUAACGCAACCAUCAGCCGUCUCCCCUGCUUCCUCCCAUGACCUCCCUCCUUCAACGUCGUCAAGCGUUUGUAGUCCACCAAGUAAACAGCCAAGUCAUCAGCAGAGCUCACCAGAACCUCCUCCACACAGUGCGGUCACUUGUGUAACAUCUACAAGUGAAGUAAGAGAGUCAGAAACUAACAGUGAUACAAGUAAUGGAAAUACGGGUGAAGUCAUCCAGCAACCUCCUCAGAUGAUCUAUCCACAGUAUUAUCAACAUUCACAGCUAGAUGCAAGAACAUUCUCACAGGAGGGUGGCGUGAAUGAAGUGACCAGUAACCUCCGAGCCCUGUGUUUAAGUGGUCCAAACAAUGGGGGAGAGAGCAACAGUGACAUCACAACAAUUCAGAUGUCUGCGGCUCCAGUCCAUCAGAGUUAUGUUGUUCCUCGACAGUACUCGCAGCCUGUGUACUACAUGCCAGCAGGAAGUAUGGGGAACAUGAGUGGAUCCCUAAAGUAUGUGUACCCCCAGUACCAGAUGGCUCCAGUACAGGCAACUCCAACUGGAGUACAGGCAACGACAGGAGUACAGUCAGCGAAUAUACAGCAGGUUCAAGCUAUUCCUGCUGUCCCAGCUGUGCCAGCUGUGCCAGGGGGUAUUAGUGCAGCACCAGCACCCCCAGCUGGGCACCAUGCUACAUUGGAGCACAACCAUGUCAUACCUCCAGGUGGAGGAUAUGUCCCAGGAGGCUACACAGUUGUCACUUACCCAGCAGGAGGUAGUGUUGGAACUGGCGCCAACGGACAGGAGACAGGAGGCACGACGUACUACUACCAGCUCCCUGCAGCCGCUGCAGCUGGCCUCAGUGGCCCCAUCCCAGCUGCACAGCCAGUUCCAACAAGUCUACAGCAAUAUACUCUAACGCCAACUACUUCUAACUCGUAUCCACAAUUUGUUACAUAUGAAGGCUUUUACAUAAGCCAAAGCUGUCUGGAGACUCAGCUGAAACAUUGAUACCAAACAAUCAAACAGCACAUUAAAUGGACUACAGACAUUGAAAAAGAUUUUUUCUUUUGCUUUUGUUUUGGUUACCUGAUGACUUGCUUGGGUGUGCAAAGUGGAUGACUCCUAGACACCAACAGUCAGGAAGAGAGAGUGGGAAGAGCACCAUGUAACUUGUCCCGUAGCAUGGAAUGAACCUUGGACUUUGCCGUCAUUUGUGUGAAUACUGCUGAUCGGAUGGUGUGUUUUUUUUUUUUUUUUUUUUUCUUUAGAUCAAGAUGGAUUGGUAACUUCGGUGAUUUGAACUCAAACACUGAGAAUAACUGAUAGAUUAGCUUCAUCUAUGUUUUCAUGAUAAAAGAGAAAAAAAUGACAAUUUGCUAAUCGGAUAAUGUUGACCUCAGGAACUAGAAAACUAACACUGCUUACAUGGAAAACAAAGGAAAUGUGUAAAAAUUGGAAACUGAAUAAUCAUACAACUUUAUUGUCAGAUUUAAGGAUUUCUCUCUCCACAGUUCAAGUUUAGGCCAAACUUUCAUUAUGAGAAAGUAGAGAAAAAUUGGAUUUCAUUCAUUCAGAAAUAAAAUGAACAAGCACUAGAUAUUGACGUGACAGCUACAGUGUAAUGAAGUCUGGCAUGGAAAAUUUUAAUAUGUCGCCCACUUUAUGUCUAAUGUGAUAACCGUAAUGGAAAUGGAAAUUAUUUGCCUUAUUCAUAAUGUCCAUCAGAGAGGAACAGAGUUAUAAAUCAGUUUGAUAAAUGUUUGAAAAGUAGGAAUGAGAGCGAGUCAUUUUACAAUACAAAUAUGUGAUAACUGUUUUGAAAUCACAUCUUCAAGCAAACUUGCUAAGAAAUAUUAUCCCCACGGCUGAGGUUAGAUUGGAGGCCAGGAGCUAAUUUCAGGAGUUUUUAAAAUAGAUGUUUGUUAAUUUAUUGUUUCUACUAGUAUUGUUUACCUGUUGAUGUAAACAAAUUACUGUACUGUUCUUUUACAUUUUGACUCCUUUUUAUGUUGUUUACUACAUGUCCAUUUCUCCAAACGUGUGACACGGCAUCUAAAUUAUUUAUCCUUGUUCCCCUUCUGUUUCUGUUAUGAAGGUAAACAUUUUGGAUUAAAGAUUAAAUUUUA